RNAcentral lists this ribosomal RNA (301 nucleotides) under uncultured bacterium. RNAcentral's name for it is "partial 16S ribosomal RNA". It matches the Rfam family "Bacterial small subunit ribosomal RNA", at positions 509 to 807 of the family's 1533-position model. The record is from RNAcentral.
CAGCAGCCACGGUAACACGUAGGGUGCAAGCGUUAAUCGGAAUUACUGGGCGUAAAGCGUGCGCAGGCGGUUAUAUAAGACAGAUGUGAAAUCCCCGGGCUCAACCUGGGAACUGCAUUUGUGACUGUAUAGCUAGAGUACGGCAGAGGGGGAUGGAAUUCCGCGUGUAGCAGUGAAAUGCGUAGAUAUGCGGAGGAACACCGAUGGCGAAGGCAAUCCCCUGGGCCUGUACUGACGCUCAUGCACGAAAGCGUGGGGAGCAAACAGGAUUAGAUACCCCCGUAGUCCCUGUCUCUUAUAC